UGUUUCCGAAUAUUCUGAAGAACGGCUCGGAAGUGAAUGGCGGCCUGCCGCAGGUGGGGUCGCUGGACGUCCACCUGAAGCGGUUCCAGGAGGACCUGGAACGAUCCGUGCCAGACGUCAACUUCAGCGGCGUGGGGGUGAUCGACUUCGAGGGCUGGACGCCCUGGUUCGCCGCGCUGGCGAGUCCACUCAAGCAGGCGGCGCUACAGCUGGUGAGGCGGCAGCACCCGCAAUGGACGGACACCCGCGUCGCCGAACAGGCUCGGGAGGACUUUGAGUGGUGGGCUCGCCUGUUCCUUCAGCAGACGCUGGAGGCGGCCGAGCGUGCCCGGCCGGCCGC
Long non-coding RNA from Pollicipes pollicipes, 340 nucleotides. RefSeq lists it as uncharacterized. The record is from RefSeq and is a predicted model, not a curated record. Lineage: Eukaryota; Metazoa; Arthropoda; Thecostraca; Pollicipedomorpha; Pollicipedidae. The transcript has 3 exons.